GCGCAAGUCGUUGGGUGUUUUGUAUACCCGAAGGCGUUGUGAAAGCGAGAGAUUUGCCUCGGGUGAAUCGUUUGGCGGGAUCUUCGCUUGCCGUACAGCUUUGUGCGGUAGGUGAGGCGCACCGCCGGCCCGCUUUAGUACCACGUGUCGUAAGCGGAGUUUUAGCGUGCAAUUUGAGACCCGAAAGAUGGUGAACUAUGCCUGAGCAGGAUGAAGCCAGGGGAAACUCUGGUGGAAGUCCGUAGCGAUUCUGACGUGCAAAUCGAUCGUCUGACUUGGGUAUAGGGGCGAAAGACUAAUCGAACCGUCUAAUAGCUGGUUCCCUCCGAAGUUUCCCUCAGGAUAGCUGGCGCUCGUGUGAAAAAUCACGGCAGUGUCUCCCGGUAAAGCGAAUGAUUAGAGGUCUUGGGGACGAAACGUCCUCAACCUAUUCUCAAACUUUAAAUGGGUGAGAAGUGCGGUUUACUUAAUUUUGAAGUCCGCACACGCCUCGCGCACGCAUGUCUGAGUGCCAAGUGGGCCAUUUUUGGUAAGCAGAACUGGCGCUGUGGGAUGAACCGAACGCUAAGUUAAGGCGCCCGAGUGUGACGCUCAUAAAACCCCACAAAAGGUGUUGGUUGCUAUAGACAGCAG
This 633-nucleotide ribosomal RNA is filed under the name Batillipes pennaki. RNAcentral describes it as "eukaryotic LSU rRNA". It matches the Rfam family "Eukaryotic large subunit ribosomal RNA", at positions 684 to 1243 of the family's 3401-position model. Lineage: Eukaryota; Metazoa; Tardigrada; Heterotardigrada; Arthrotardigrada; Batillipedidae. The record is from RNAcentral.